This 253-nucleotide ribosomal RNA is filed under the name uncultured bacterium. RNAcentral's name for it is "partial 16S ribosomal RNA". It matches the Rfam family "Bacterial small subunit ribosomal RNA", at positions 524 to 776 of the family's 1533-position model. The record is from RNAcentral.
UACGGGGGGGGCAAGCGUUGUUCGGAAUUACUGGGCGUAAAGGGCGCGCAGGCGGCGGUGCUGGCCCGGCGUGAAAGCCCCCGGCUCAACCGGGGAGAGUCGUCGGGGACCGCACCGCUUGAGGGCGGUAGGGGCCGGUGGAAUGCCUGGUGUAGUGGUGAAAUGCGUAGAGAUCAGGCAGAACACCUGGGGCGAAGGCGGCCGGCUGGGCCGUCCCUGACGCUGAGGCGCGAAGGCGUGGGGAGCGAACGGG